This 369-nucleotide ribosomal RNA is filed under the name uncultured organism. RNAcentral describes it as "partial 16S ribosomal RNA". It matches the Rfam family "Bacterial small subunit ribosomal RNA", at positions 527 to 896 of the family's 1533-position model. The record is from RNAcentral.
GGAGGGUGCAAGCGUUAUCCGGAAUUAUUGGGUUUAAAGGGUGCGUAGGCGGGAUGAUAAGUCAGUGGUGAAAUCUUACAGCUUAACUGUAAAACUGCCACUGAUACUAUCGUUCUUGAAUACAAUUGAAGUGGGCGGAAUGUGUCAUGUAGCGGUGAAAUGCUUAGAUAUGACACAGAACACCUAUUGCGAAGGCAGCUCACUAAGUUGUUAUUGACGCUGAGGCACGAAAGCGUGGGGGGAGCGAACAGGAUUAGAUACCCUGGUAGUCCACGCCCGUAAACGAUGAUUACUCGGUAUUGGCGAUACACUGUCAGUACCCAAGCGAAAGUUUUAAGUAAUCCACCUGGAAGUACGUCGGCAACGAUG